AGUUUUGAGCUAAAUAUACUUAUAAUAUUAGUUUAUUUAUGAAGGUGUUGUAAAACCUUAUUAAAAAUUAUAUUUAGGGGUGAUAGGCCUUUCAAAAACUAAGAUAUCUUGAAUCUAAUUAAAAGUAUGUAGUACAUUCAACACAACUAUUAAGUGAUUAGGCUUUAUAGAACUAUUAACUUAUAAGGAUUUUUAUUUAUUAUAAUUUAAUAAUUAAGUAUAUAAAUAGAAUAAUAUACAUAUAUUAUAGUUUAUAAGGAGUAAUUAGAUAAAUUAAAGUUCAUAAAUUUUGUAAUAAUGUUAAUAUUAGUAUUAAGUUUAUAUUUAUAUGAUGAACUCGGCAAAAAUGUUUCUCAACUGUUUAUCAAAAACAUAACUAUGUGUAUAAAUACAUAGCGGUUUCUGCUCAA
This 410-nucleotide ribosomal RNA is filed under the name Mandarina conus. RNAcentral describes it as "partial 16S ribosomal RNA". The record is from RNAcentral. Lineage: Eukaryota; Metazoa; Mollusca; Gastropoda; Stylommatophora; Camaenidae.